Molecule: ribosomal RNA, 494 nt
Filed under: Veillonella atypica
Lineage: Bacteria; Bacillati; Bacillota; Negativicutes; Veillonellales; Veillonellaceae
Description: bacterial SSU rRNA
Rfam family: Bacterial small subunit ribosomal RNA
Source: RNAcentral
GACGAACGCUGGCGGCGUGCUUAACACAUGCAAGUCGAACGAAGAGCGAUGGAAGCUUGCUUCUAUCAAUCUUAGUGGCGAACGGGUGAGUAACGCGUAAUCAACCUGCCCUUCAGAGGGGGACAACAGUUGGAAACGACUGCUAAUACCGCAUACGAUCCAACUCGGCAUCGAGGAAAGAUGAAAGGUGGCCUCUAUUUAUAAGCUAUCACUGAAGGAGGGGAUUGCGUCUGAUUAGCUAGUUGGAGGGGUAACGGCCCACCAAGGCGAUGAUCAGUAGCCGGUCUGAGAGGAUGAACGGCCACAUUGGGACAGAGACACGGCCCAGACUCCUACGGGAGGCAGCAGUGGGGAAUCUUCCGCAAUGGACGAAAGUCUGACGGAGCAACGCCGCGUGAGUGAUGACGGCCUUCGGGUUGUAAAGCUCUGUUAAUCGGGACGAAUGGUUCUUGUGCAAAUAGUGCGAGGAUUUGACGGUACCGGAAUAGAAAGCC